AGCGUGCUAAAGUUGUCAGCUAAGUGGCGUACGGGUGAGUAAUGUAUAGCUAAUCUGCCCUUUAGAAGGGAAUAACCACGGGAAACUGUGGCUAAUACCCUAUACUCCAUUAUAUCAUAAGGUAUAAUGGGAAAUGUUUUUUCGCUAAAGGAUGAGGCUAUAUCCUAUCAGUUUGUUGGUGAGGUAAAAGCUUACCAAGACUAUGACGGGUAGCUGGUCUGAGAGGAUGAUCAGCCACACUGGAACUGAGACACGGUCCAGACUCCUACGGGAGGCAGCAGUGGGGAAUAUUGCACAAUGGGCGAAAGCCUGAUGCAGCAAUGCCGCGUGGAGGAUGACGCAUCUAGGUGUGUAAACUCCUUUUAUAUGAGAAGAUAAUGACGGUAUCAUAUGAAUAAGCACCGGCUAACUCCGUGCCAGCAGCCGCGGUAAUACGGGGGGUGCAAGCGUUAUUCGGAAUCACUGGGCGUAAAGCGUGCGUAGGCGUUUUAGUAAGUCUUUUGUGAAAUCCUAUGGCUUAACCAUAGCACUGCAAGGGAAACUACUAAAAUAGAGUACAGAAGAGGUAGCUGGAAUUUCUAGUGUAGGGGUAAAAUCCGUUAAUAUUAGAAGGAAUACCAAUGGCGAAAGCAAGCUACUGGGAUGUUACUGACGCUGAGGUGCGAAAGCGUGGGGAGCAAACAGGAUUAGAUACCCUGGUAGUCCACGCCCUAAACGAUGAACACUAGUUGUUGGGAGACUUUGAUCUUUCAGUAACGCAGCUAACGCAUUAAGUGUUCCGCCUGGGGAGUACGGUCGCAAGAUUAAAACUCAAAGGAAUAGACGGGGACCCGCACAAGCGGUGGAGCAUGUGGUUUAAUUCGAAGAUACGCGAAGAACCUUACCAAGGCUUGAUAUCCUAAGAAUUUGCUGGAAACAGUGAAGUGUCGGUUUACCGAAACUUAGUGACAGGUGCUGCACGGCUGUCGUCAGCUCGUGUCGUGAGAUGUUGGGUUAAGUCCCGCAACGAGCGCAACCCUCGUUCUUAGUUGUUAACAGUUCGGCUGAAUACUCUAAGAAGACUGCCUUACGUAAGGGGGAGGAAGGUGAGGACGAUGUCAAGUCAUCAUGGCCCUUAUGCCUUGGGCUACACACGUGCUACAAUGGGAGGCACAAUGAGUUGCAAUACUGCGAAGUGGAGCUAAUCUUCAAAGCCUCUCUCAGUUCGGAUAGCAGUCUGCAACCCGACUGCUUGAAGUUGGAAUCGCUAGUAAUCGUAAAUCAGCAAUGUUACGGUGAAUACGUUCCCGGGUCUUGUACUCACCGCCCGUCACACCAUGGGAGUUGGUUUCACCCAAAAAUGGAAUGCUAACCUUUUUGGAGGCUACCAUUUACGGUGGGGUCGGCAACUGGGGUGA
RNAcentral lists this ribosomal RNA (1397 nucleotides) under uncultured bacterium. RNAcentral's name for it is "bacterial SSU rRNA". It matches the Rfam family "Bacterial small subunit ribosomal RNA". The record is from RNAcentral.